This 76-nucleotide transfer RNA is filed under the name Mycoplasmataceae bacterium. RNAcentral describes it as "tRNA-Asp". It matches the Rfam family "tRNA". From Rfam's summary of the family: Transfer RNA (tRNA) molecules are approximately 80 nucleotides in length. Their secondary structure includes four short double-helical elements and three loops (D, anti-codon, and T loops). Further hydrogen bonds mediate the characteristic L-shaped molecular structure. tRNAs have two regions of fundamental functional importance: the anti-codon, which is responsible for specific mRNA codon recognition, and the 3' end, to which the tRNAs corresponding amino acid is attached (by aminoacyl-tRNA synthetases). tRNAs cope with the degeneracy of the genetic code in two manners: having more than one tRNA (with a specific anti-codon) for a particular amino acid; and 'wobble' base-pairing, i.e. permitting non-standard base-pairing at the 3rd anti-codon position. The record is from RNAcentral. Lineage: Bacteria; Bacillati; Mycoplasmatota; Mollicutes; Mycoplasmatales; Mycoplasmataceae.
GGUCUCGUGGUAUAGCGAUUUAUUAUGUCCCCCUGUCACGGGGACGAUACGGGUUUGACUCCCGUCGAGACCGCCA